Molecule: transfer RNA, 87 nt
Filed under: Planctomycetaceae bacterium
Lineage: Bacteria; Pseudomonadati; Planctomycetota; Planctomycetia; Planctomycetales; Planctomycetaceae
Description: tRNA-Ser
Rfam family: tRNA
About the family: Transfer RNA (tRNA) molecules are approximately 80 nucleotides in length. Their secondary structure includes four short double-helical elements and three loops (D, anti-codon, and T loops).
Source: RNAcentral
GGGCAGGUGGCAGAGCGGUUGAAUGCACCGGUCUUGAAAACCGGCGGACCCUCACGGGUCUCGUGGGUUCGAAUCCCACCCUGCCCG